This 561-nucleotide ribosomal RNA is filed under the name Ariopsis sp. RB-2009. Its description in RNAcentral is "partial 16S ribosomal RNA". It matches the Rfam family "Bacterial large subunit ribosomal RNA", at positions 1819 to 2595 of the family's 2925-position model. Lineage: Eukaryota; Metazoa; Chordata; Actinopteri; Siluriformes; Ariidae. The record is from RNAcentral.
CCUCCCGCAAAAAUCAAUGUAUAGGAGGUCUCGCCUGCCCAGUGACAAGUUAAACGGCCGCGGUAUUUUGACCGUGCGAAGGUAGCGCAAUCACUUGUCUUUUAAAUGAAGACCUGUAUGAAUGGUAGAACGAGGGCUUAACUGUCUCCCUUUUUAAGUCAAUGAAAUUGAUCUGCCCGUGCAGAAGCGGACAUAAUAAUACAAGACGAGAAGACCCUUUGGAGCUUAAGAUCUCAGAUCAAUUAUGUCAAGAACUUAAAUCAAGCUAAACCAAAUAACACCUGAUCCUAGUCUUCAGUUGGGGCGACCGCGGGAGAAAACAAAGCUCCCAUGAGGACUGGACCCACCUCCAGAACCAAGAAAGACAUCUCUAAGUCACAGAACCUCUGACCAUAAAGAUCCGGCCACCCGCCGACCAACGGACCAAGUUACCCUAGGGAUAACAGCGCAAUCCCCUUCUAGAGUCCAUAUCGACAAGGGGGUUUACGACCUCGAUGUUGGAUCAGGACAUCCUAAUGGUGCAGCCGCUAUUAAGGGUUCGUUUGUUCAACGAUUAAAGUC